RNAcentral lists this ribosomal RNA (947 nucleotides) under Akanthomyces aculeatus. RNAcentral describes it as "SSU rRNA". It matches the Rfam family "Eukaryotic small subunit ribosomal RNA", at positions 195 to 1152 of the family's 1831-position model. Lineage: Eukaryota; Fungi; Ascomycota; Sordariomycetes; Hypocreales; Cordycipitaceae. The record is from RNAcentral.
GAAGGGAUGUAUUUAUUAGAUUAAAAACCAAUGCCCUCUGGGCUCCUUGGUGAUUCAUGAUAACUUUUCGAAUCGCAGGCCUUGCGCCGGCGAUGGUUCAUUCAAAUUUCUUCCCUAUCAACUUUCGAUGUUUGGGUAUUGGCCAAACAUGGUCGCAACGGGUAACGGAGGGUUAGGGCUCGACCCCGGAGAAGGAGCCUGAGAAACGGCUACUACAUCCAAGGAAGGCAGCAGGCGCGCAAAUUACCCAAUCCCGAUUCGGGGAGGUAGUGACAAUAAAUACUGAUACAGGGCUCUUUUGGGUCUUGUAAUUGGAAUGAGUACAAUUUAAAUCCCUUAACGAGGAACAAUUGGAGGGCAAGUCUGGUGCCAGCAGCCGCGGUAAUUCCAGCUCCAAUAGCGUAUAUAAAGUUGUUGUGGUUAAAAAGCUCGUAGUUGAACCUUGGGCCUGGCUGGCCGGUCCGCCUCACCGCGUGCACUGGUCCGGCCGGGCCUUUCCCUCUGUGGAACCCCAUGCCCUUCACUGGGUGUGGCGGGGAAACAGGACUUUUACUUUGAAAAAAUUAGAGUGCUCCAGGCAGGCCUAUGCUCGAAUACAUUAGCAUGGAAUAAUGAAAUAGGACGUGUGGUUCUAUUUUGUUGGUUUCUAGGACCGCCGUAAUGAUUAAUAGGGACAGUCGGGGGCAUCAGUAUUCAAUUGUCAGAGGUGAAAUUCUUGGAUUUAUUGAAGACUAACUACUGCGAAAGCAUUUGCCAAGGAUGUUUUCAUUAAUCAGGAACGAAAGUUAGGGGAUCGAAGACGAUCAGAUACCGUCGUAGUCUUAACCAUAAACUAUGCCGACUAGGGAUCGGACGAUGUUAUUUUUUGACGCGUUCGGCACCUUACGAGAAAUCAAAGUGCUUGGGCUCCAGGGGGAGUAUGGUCGCAAGGCUGAAACUUAAAGGAA